ACCGAACCGACCCCCGUUGAAACGUUGGCGGAUGACUUGUGACUAGCGGAGAAAUUCCAAUCGAACACGGCGAUAGCUGGUUCUCCCCGAAAUAGCUUUAGGGCUAGCGUUGAACGAAUCUACCCGGAGGUAGAGCACUGAAAAUAUGCGGGCGGCACCUAGCCGUACCAAAUGUUAUCAAACUCCGAAUGCCGGGCAAGAAUAUUCAGCAGUCAGACUGUGGGUGAUAAGGUCCAUGGUCAAAAGGGAAACAGCCCAGAUCAUCAGAUAAGGUCCCAGAAUCUACGCCAAGUGGAAAAGGAUGUGGAGACGCGCAAACAGCUAGGAGGUUAGCUCAGAAGCAGCUAUCCUUGAAAGAGUGCGUAACAGCUCACUAGUCGAGUAUCUCUGCGCCGAAAAUUAACCGGGGCUAAGCGUAGUACCGAAUCUAUGGAUUUGUGCAGAAAUGUAUAAGUGGUAGGGGAGCGUUCCAAACAGCAUAGAAGGCAUACCGAAAGGAGUGCUGGAGCGUUUGGAAGUGAGAAUGCCGGUGUGAGUAGCGAGAUGCAGGUGAGAAUCCUGCACACCGAUAGACCAAGGUUUCCAGGGGAAGGUUCGUCCGCCCUGGGUAAGUCGGGACCUAAGACGAGGCAGAAAUGCGUAGCCGAUGGACAACUGGUUUAUAUUCCAGUACCCGCGAUACAACUGAAGGAGUGACGGAAAAGGUUACCUCGAGCCCUUAAUGGAUUGGGCAGGACAGAGAGGAGCAGGCAGCAGGCAAAUCCGCUGCAGGAUGCAGAGCUCUGGACCGAAUGAACGAGCGAUCAAGUAGUGAAGAGAGAGAUACCAGUUCCCGAGAAAAGCUUCUAAGGCUAAUUGUAUAGCGGCCCGUACCACAAACCGACACAGGUGGUCAAGGCGAGUAGCCUGAGGUGAGCGAGAGAACUGUUGCCAAGGAACUCGGCAAACUGACCCCGUACGUUAGCAAUAAGGGGUGCUCGAAAGAGCCGCAGUGAAUAGGCCCUAGCAACUGUUUAACUAAAACAUAGCUCUCUGCCAAGCCGCAAGGCGAAGUAUAGGGGGUGACACCUGCCCGGUGCUGGAAGGUCAAGGGGAUUUGUCAGCGCAAGCGAAGCAUUGAACCGAAGCCCCAGUGAACGGCGGCCGUAACUAUAACGGUCCUAAGGUAGCGAAAUUCCUUGUCAGGUAAGUUCUGACCCGCACGAAAGGUGUAAUGAUUUGGGCACUGUCUCGGCAGCAGACUCGGUGAAAUCUUAGUACCUGUGAAGAUGCAGGUUACCCGCAACUAGACGGAAAGACCCCAUGGAGCUUUACUGCAGUCUGCUAUUGAGUUUCGGUUGGAUAUGCACAGGAUAGGUGGGAGACGAUGAGACGUGGAUUUCGGUCUACGAGGAGUCACUGUUGGGAUACCACUCUUAUUCAACUGGAAUUCUAACUGAUAUCCGUGAUCCGGAUACAGGACAGUGUCAGAUGGGCAGUUUGACUGGGGCGGUCGCCUCCCAAAGAGUAACGGAGGCGCACAAAGGUACUCUCAGAAUGGUUGGAAAUCAUUCAGCGAGCGCAAACGCAGAAGAGUGCUUGACUGCGAGACAUACAGGUCGAGCAGGGACGAAAGUCGGUGUUAGUGAUCCGGCGGUGCAGAA
This 1643-nucleotide ribosomal RNA is filed under the name human gut metagenome. RNAcentral describes it as "bacterial LSU rRNA". It matches the Rfam family "Bacterial large subunit ribosomal RNA", at positions 773 to 2433 of the family's 2925-position model. The record is from RNAcentral.